UACGGUCAUAUCGCGUUGAAACACCGGUUCUUAUAUGAUCACCGAAGUUAAGCAACGUCGAUCCUUGUCAGUGCCUAGAUGGGUAACCGAUUGUGAAUACAAGGCGAUGUA
This is a non-coding RNA of Acanthosepion pharaonis, 111 nucleotides long. NCBI's taxonomy places the organism in Eukaryota, Metazoa, Mollusca, Cephalopoda, Sepiida, Sepiidae. The record is from the annotation of a GenBank genome assembly.